This 253-nucleotide ribosomal RNA is filed under the name uncultured bacterium. RNAcentral describes it as "partial 16S ribosomal RNA". It matches the Rfam family "Bacterial small subunit ribosomal RNA", at positions 524 to 776 of the family's 1533-position model. The record is from RNAcentral.
UACGAGGGGGGCGAGCGUUGUUCGGAAUUAUUGGGCGUAAAGGGUGCGUAGGCGGUUUGGUAAGUCUUAUGUGAAAUCAACAGGCUCAACUUGUAGUCUGCAUGAGAAACUGCCGGGCUUGAGUAUGGGAGAGGUGAGUGGAAUUCCUGGUGUAGCGGUGAAAUGCGUAGAUAUCAGGAGGAACACCUGUGGCGAAAGCGGCUCACUGGACCAUAACUGACGCUGAUGCACGAAAGCUAGGGGAGCAAACAGG